UACGUAGGGGGCGAGCGUUGUCCGGAUUCAUUGGGAGUAAAGCGCGCGUAGGCGGCUUCGCAAGUCGGCCGUGAAAUCUCCGGGCUCAACUCGGAGGGGUCGGGCGAGACUGCGAGGCUCGAGGUGGGCAGAGGGCAGUGGAAUUCCAGGUGUAGCGGUGAAAUGCGUAGAUAUCUGGAGGAAUACCGGUGGCGAAGGCGGCAUCCUGGACCGGCAUUGACGCUGAGGAGCGAAAGCUAGGGGAGCAAACGGG
RNAcentral lists this ribosomal RNA (253 nucleotides) under uncultured bacterium. RNAcentral's name for it is "partial 16S ribosomal RNA". It matches the Rfam family "Bacterial small subunit ribosomal RNA", at positions 524 to 776 of the family's 1533-position model. The record is from RNAcentral.